Long non-coding RNA from Eutrema salsugineum, 554 nucleotides. RefSeq lists it as uncharacterized. NCBI's taxonomy places the organism in Eukaryota, Viridiplantae, Streptophyta, Magnoliopsida, Brassicales, Brassicaceae. The record is from RefSeq and is a predicted model, not a curated record. The transcript is spliced from 2 exons.
UAAUCAGAAGAAUCUUAUUCGCAGCGAUUAGAAGUUUUCCGGUAGAUUUAUUUGUGAAUUUGCCGUGAUUUCACUUCGAGAUUCUGGGUUCGAUAGACCGUCUUUUACUCAGGGAGUAAGCAAAGGUCUUGUCACGGGAACAGUUCUUAGCAGAAUGGUUGAAGAAGGGAAGGCACCGGUUGUGGUAUUUGGAGAAGACAGAUCAGAUGAGAUGUUUGAAGUGCAUAACAACAAUACACUUUCAGCUCUAUCAUCGUCCAUAUUUACAGAGAUAGUGGCAUGCCAAGUACUACCUCGACACAGUAAGCGACCUGGUGAAGUUACUUCGAGAACUUGGUACCCUUCUCACCUCAGAGUCUCCCUUUGAAAGUGUGGUAUGAGUAAAGAAAUCAGAGAUUAAUGCGGGGGUUUACUGAGUUAUUUAGGUGAUAAUUUCUGAAUCUUAAUCAUGAAAAGAAACAUGAUUUGUACAUAGAAAAGAGACAGAACAUUGCGUUGCUAUUUAUGUCUGUGUAUUGAGAACUGAAGCUAAUACGAGCGCAGAGAAAAGCACU